AGAAAUGUUGCUACCACUCCCAUUUACUUGGUGAAACUGAAGGAGUUUGUGCAAUAUCCUUUCUUCCCUGGAGGGUCUGACACUGUUUCGUUCAGAGCAGUGUCAACUCAGGCCAAGGUCCUGGGUUGACUCCUCGGAUGGGCAGUCAGCUUCUUCAAGUCCUAUGACCAAAGCCCGCCCUCUUAGCCUUCCCUAGAUGUCCAUUUCAGAAUAUGCAAACUGCCAUAAUUGGAAGGCACAAGAUGUGGGAUCAUUCCUACUGGUCCACUUCCAAGAAAGGCCAUCCUACAGUGUAACAUUGAUUUCAUAGUCAAAAGAUAGGAGCCUUUAAAUUUAAUGUGGUGCCAUAUAUGUCAUCAUUUCUUGUUCUGUUAAAAAAAAAUGUGUCCUUGUGUUAAAAUUAGAUUUCUGUGAAAUGUCCAUUUAUUGGCCUGGGAACAUUUCUCUUUCUCAACCCGAUACUGUGAGUCUGGAGGAGGAAAGGCUCCAUCUCUCCUUUUUUGCACUGUGUUGGAGAACAGCAUCCAGAUGGGGCCUAUCCAUCUUGCCUCUCCAAGAGCCUGACCUUGUUACCUUAUCCAUAGACUCGUGGAAGGUUACCGCUCAGGAAGACUGUGGGCCAGAGUGGAUAAUACAGAAGCCAAUGAUCUGUCUUUAAAAGUGCCUGACAUGGAAGACGAAGAGACAACAGAAUUAAAGAGCUGGAGAAACCAGAAGAGGCCAUCUGGCCAGGACCUCCCUUCAGACAGAUGAGGAAACUGAGGCUCGGAACAACUAAAGAGCUUGCCAGAGUCGUGCAACAGGUAUACGAUGGACCUACAUUUGGUGGACACAGGGUGUGCAGCCCCGAUGAGGAAAUUCUCCUCUCACUUGGAAAGAUGAUAGGGACCACGUACCCUGCUUCCAUCUUCCAAAGGGAGUCAGCGUGACAUGAAAAUAAUCAGAUUGCACAACCAUCAUUUAUUGGGAACCCAUCUGUGUGGGGAUGAGCUCAUAGCCUUGACAAAGAAGAAAAUUUCCAGCUGAGGUUGGUUGGUGGGGCUUCCCAAAUAGUCCAGCUCAUUUUCAGAAGGUCCAGCAGUGGGUCAGGACAACACUAAGUGAAGAGCAUCCAGUGACCACACUGGUCAAGCUGUAUGGUCACUGUUAUUGUAAAUGAUAUAAAACACAUUGCACUUAUUAAAGAAGGGCAUGUGA
Zalophus californianus (California sea lion) is the source of this 1197-nucleotide long non-coding RNA. RefSeq lists it as uncharacterized. NCBI's taxonomy places the organism in Eukaryota, Metazoa, Chordata, Mammalia, Carnivora, Otariidae. The transcript has 5 exons. The record is from RefSeq and is a predicted model, not a curated record.